AAUGAACGCUGGCGGCAUGGAUUAGGCAUGCAAGUCGAACGAGAAGCCUGCUUCGGUAGGUGGAUAGUGGCGAACGGGUGAGUAACGCGUGAGUAACCUGCCUUAAGGUUGGGGACAGCCCCGCGAAAGCGGGAUUAAUACCGAAUGUGGCGUUCUGCUUUAUGGCAGAAUUGCUAAAGGAGCAAUCCGCCUUAAGAUGGGCUCGCGUCCUAUUAGCUUGUUGGUGAGGUAACGGCUCACCAAGGCGAUGACAGGUAGGUGGUCUGAGAGGAUGGUCACCCACCACUGGGACUGAGACACUGCCCAG
RNAcentral lists this ribosomal RNA (307 nucleotides) under uncultured bacterium. Its description in RNAcentral is "bacterial SSU rRNA". It matches the Rfam family "Bacterial small subunit ribosomal RNA", at positions 29 to 334 of the family's 1533-position model. The record is from RNAcentral.